GCAAACAAUACAGCAAUUUUUACACAAUAGUUGGGUUAAAUAAAACUACCCAGCAGGUUGGGCAAACAUUUAACCCAACCGCUGGGUUUGUCCAUUUUCAACCCAAUUUGGGUUGUUUUUAACCAAACAUUUUUAGAGAGUAAUAAUAGUUGCAACUUGCACUCUUAAAUGUGCAUUGAAAAUUGCCAGCUGAUAAAAUAUGCUCCAGGGACCAUAUUCAUAUAACAUCUCAGGCUAUCUUAAGUGGCUGAGUUAGAUGGUGAUUGACACUAAACAGUAGAAAAUCAGUCCAGAGUCUCUUCAGCUGUAAAUGCCAUUGGCUGGUAAAGUCUUUUGUUGAUUAUAAUAAAUUGACAUGCUGAUAAAACACACAUAAGCAGUCUUUCAGAAUGCUCUCAAUUACAUAUAGCCUAGAUCAGUUGCAUACUAUAUGCAUUAGUGAGUGUGGCGGUGCUUAUGGGGUGUCGCUCUGGGACAGGCAAGUAUGAGGCUGGGAGGGAAAAAUCACAGUAUACUCACUACAAAAAACUAGACUACACCACUGGUUAACAUUGCCAAAAUUAGCUGACGUAAAGUUAAACUUACUAAACACAGCAGCAUAAUUACUUGUCCCGCUGCCUCUUUAUCACAGGUUAGCUAUCUAGGCAGGCGUAACACAAUGUAAAUAGCAACCUAACUGAAAUACUGAGGUAAACUGAGUUAGGCAACACCAUUGCUAAGUACCUAUUUUGUAUUUUGUUUUCAAGUUUUUGCUGGAUAAUGUCAUCUGUAUCGUCGGAGGAUCAUUUUGGAGUCUUUUCUUGUGAUUGCCGUCGUAACGGUGGUAACAUCAACAGCUGCCAUUUCCUCUGGACUGUACCACUGCUGCUGCUCUCACUAACACAGAAAGAGUGAUGCUUUGAGGAGGAGGAAAAAGGAGAGUCUGUUCUUUAAGCAAAAAACAUGGAUGCUGACUAUGAAGGGCAGAAUAAUCAUCCAGCCAACAGACUCUUUUUCAGCAUUUGCUGUCCACUUUGUUGGAAUGCAGAAUUGGCACAAGUUAGGAGACUGAAGCACCGCCUCUCACUUUGUUUGCUGCCACAUGGAAUGCGGCUGUCACUCCAUGGACCAAGCAAUAGGACUUUAAUCAGCAAGGUAUAUAAGAAAUGUGCACCCUUCUAUACAUUCAAGAUUUUA
This is a long non-coding RNA of Ctenopharyngodon idella (grass carp), 1176 nucleotides long. RefSeq lists it as uncharacterized. NCBI's taxonomy places the organism in Eukaryota, Metazoa, Chordata, Actinopteri, Cypriniformes, Xenocyprididae. The transcript has 4 exons. The record is from RefSeq and is a predicted model, not a curated record.